AGCAGCCGCGGUAAUUCCAGCUCCAAUAGCGUAUAUUAAAGUUGUUGCAGUUAAAAAGCUCGUAGUUGAAUUUCGGGAUCAAUAUGUCGGUCGUGCCUUCGGUACGUACUGGUAUCAUUGGUCUCUCCUUUCUGACGAACCAUGAUGUCAUUAAUUUGGUGUUAUGGGGAGUUAGGACUGUUACUUUGAAAAAAUUAGAGUGUUUAAAGCAGGCUUUAGCUUGAAUACAUUAGCAUGGAAUAAUGAAAUAGGACGUUCGAACCUAUUUUGUUGGUUUCUAGGAUCAACGUAAUGAUUAAUAGGGAUAGUUGGGGGCAUUAGUAUUCAAUUGUCAGAGGUGAAAUUCUUGGAUUUAUUGAAGACUAACUACUGCGAAAGCAUUUGCCAAGGAUGUUUUCAUUAAUCAAGAACGAAAGUUAGGGGAUCGAAGACGAUCAGAUACCGUCGUAG
This 450-nucleotide ribosomal RNA is filed under the name uncultured Glomus. RNAcentral's name for it is "SSU rRNA". It matches the Rfam family "Eukaryotic small subunit ribosomal RNA", at positions 569 to 1023 of the family's 1831-position model. RNAcentral also lists the same sequence under 1 other name. The record is from RNAcentral. Lineage: Eukaryota; Fungi; Glomeromycota; Glomeromycetes; Glomerales; Glomeraceae.